GAUGAACGCUGGCGGCGUGCCUAAUACAUGCAAGUCGAGCGAACAGAUGAGGAGCUUGCUCCUCUGACGUUAGCGGCGGACGGGUGAGUAACACGUGGAUAACCUACCUAUAAGACUGGGAUAACUUCGGGAAACCGGAGCUAAUACCGUAUAAUAUAUUGAACCGCAUGGUUCAAUAGUGAAAGACGGUUUUGCUGUCACUUAUAGAUGGAUCCGCGCCGCAUUAGCUAGUUGGUAAGGUAACGGCUUACCAAGGCAACGAUGCGUAGACGACCUGAGAGGGUGAUCGGCCACACUGGAACUGAGACGCGGUCCAGACUCCUACGGGAGGCAGCAGUAGGGAAUCUUCCGCAAAGGGCGAAAGCCUGACGGAGCAACGCCGCGUGAGUGAUGAAGGCCUUCGGAUCGUAAAACUCUGUUAUGAGUGAAGAACAAAUGUGUAAGUAACUAUGCACGUCUUGACGGUAACUAAUCAGAAAGCCACGGCUAACUACGUG
Molecule: ribosomal RNA, 497 nt
Filed under: uncultured bacterium
Lineage: Bacteria
Description: partial 16S ribosomal RNA
Rfam family: Bacterial small subunit ribosomal RNA
Source: RNAcentral